GUGGUCAAAUAUUGCUGUCAAGUUUCCACUAUGUAGCCCAGAAACAGUCAGUCAGAGUCCAGUGCUGCCACCUUCUGGUCUGUGGAGGAAUAACAAAUGGAAGCAUUCGCUCAUUAAGACAAUAGGUCAUAACUUUUAUGCACAGUGGCGUGUUUCAAAUACAAACUUACUUGAAGGUGAAAUUAAAUUAAAGGUGAACUUUUCCUGUCCAGGAAUCAAAGAUCACAAGGCAAGAACUGAAGGUGGAGGACAAAGGGGGCUCAGCGAAAAUUUCAAAAGGACAGACGGAGGAAAUGGAGGGACGUUGCCACGGCAACAGAUGAGGCCUCAGUCAGCGGGAGCAAACAAAUACACAGGGAGCCUGGACACACAAACACACAAAAAGAGACACACGCUGGAGGCCAGAGCAAAACACACGGCACCGGGCAGGGGUACACACACACACCUGCAGCCAACAGGGACACGCACACGUCAUCGUCAGGUAGGCUUUACACACGAAAACCAGAAAGCAUCUCCGUCUGAAUAAAGAUUCAAUCUGAGAAAACAGAAAAGUCACCAGUUUUCAUAUGACUAAAAUUAAUGAUAAAAUUAAUCAUGUUUACCGGGUUUGUUGCUGAGGCGCCAGCCAACAGACGUAUGUCUGUUCCUUUGAAGAAACUGAUUUCACACUUGAUCAGAAAUCGAUCCAGCAGCAAGUCAUAAGAUAUCAGGGACGGUUAUUAGAGCAUGUGUGUGUGUGUGUGUGUAACAUUACUGCUGUUGCUGUGUCUCACAUGAAUAUGAUUAUCUCUAGCUUUAGUAGCGUCUUAUGAAAGCCAGCGUUUCCUCAUCCAUGGAAAUCCCGAUUCAUCCUCAGACGUGUUCUCUGUGUUGUUGUCGUUACGCCCGUCAGCCAGCAGGGGGCGCUGCACCCGACUGGCUGUGUCUACCUGAUGAGGUGUGGCUGUCCAUCCUGUCUCUGUUGCCUCUCAGUCACCUGUACGAGGUGGUUCAGGUCUGCAGCCGCCUCCACGCGCUGGCCACAGAUCACACACUGUGGAAAAGACUGAGCGUUGCAAACUCCACCCUGACGGAGCGGUGGCUGCUGUGCGUGGGCAAACGGCGUCCUCGCAGCCUGUGUCUGCGCAGCUGCAGCAGCCGCUCGGUCACCGCCUCCGGCCUGGAGAUGUUUUUCCUCCUGAGCAGGAAGACGGUGGAGGAAGUCAGCGUCACCGGCUGCAUGGGCGCUGGUCUCCAUGGCGACCACGUGCUCGCCCUGGUCGGCCGGCUGUGCGGCGGCGUGACGAGCGUGGACGUGAGCUGGAGCGGCGCCACGGACGGAGGAGUGACGGCGCUGAGCGAGGGACGCGCCGGGUCCGUCGCUCCAGCGACACAACGCGUCGCACGACCGGAGACGCGGUUCGACCGCGAGGAGGCCACGGGCAGGGUCAAUGACGCGCUCGUCUCUCCCGCAGGUUGACGCUGACGUCGGUGGUUCUGAACGGCUGUCACGUCACCGACGCGCCGCUGCAGACGCUGGUCCGGAGGCACAAGCAGAGGUCGGUCCCGUCCCCCGACGCUCCGCUGUCACAUUCACGCGCGUGCACGGACGCCGGCCCAACGCCGCUGCUGUGUGUCAGUCUGUGCAGGCUGGAGGUGUUCGGCUGUCAGCUCCUCACGGCGACCUGUCUGCAGACGGUGUGCGAGGUGCUCCGCCUUUAGAAGCUAGAGACCAGAAUGCACAACCACAGCAAAAGAAACGCUGCUUCACGGCACAACAUGCUCCCACGGCUGGUUUUCUGCUCUGUGCCUUAGAUGUGUCCUGGUCUUAAGCAUCUGAAUAUCGGGCAGCUGCCGAGAGUCACCAAACACAGUCUCGCCGUGAUGACGUCGCACCUUAAAGGCCUCGUUUCUCUGAAUCUCACUGGUCUAAAGGCUGUAGGUUUGACCUGCUUUGCGUCGUUACAUUGCUUCAUGAUGUUUUACUCACCUGGGUUUUGCUGCAGGUUACGGAUGCGAUGCUGGACGCUUUGCUUCAGAGCUGCGCUGCACUUCAGAGUCUGACGCUCAGUUCCUGCCCCGGAGUCACCGAUCUGACGCUGCACAACAUCGGCAAAUACACACCGUGUAUCAGGUACAGACACACCACUGGAGGGCUAAUGUCCAAAAUACUUCACCUCUUUUGCCUUCGUUUGUCAGAUGCGUAGACGUGAGCGGCUGUGGGGCGGUCACAGACGUAGGAGUUCAGUCGCUGACGCUGGGAUGUAAAAGACUCCAGCAGCUGGACCUCAGCUCCACCGGCACAGGAAGCAGAGGGUAGGACAUGCAGUGUCUGUCAAUGGGAACCUCAUUCCCCGAUGACUCCCACAAGCACUUGGAGAAACCACGUGUGUGUUUGCGCGUGUGACGCAGCAUCACUCUGCUGGCGAACGGCUGCAGCCAGAACCUGCAGACUGUCAAGCUCAGCUUCUGCCACAUCGGCCUAGACGACAUACUGGAGCUGUGCAGGCGCUGCAGAAGGUAGAGACACACACACACACACGCACACACACACACACACACACACACACACACACACGCACGCAUACACACCUACAUGCACACGCACGUGCACGCAUGCACACACACAAACACACACACACACACACACACACACACACACACACACACACACACACACACACACACACACACGCAUGCCAUUCUCCUGUUCCUCUCUCCAGGUUGAGAGUGCUCCAUCUCUACGGUUGUCCCCAACUCCCAACUGAGAGAGACAUCAGAGACGUCAACAGUGACGUGACCGUUUCCCCGCUGUCCUGACUCACCUGCAAACAUCUGCACACAGCUGGACGUAGAAGCUUUUACGAUCAUCCCGUGUACAUGGGCUGAACAACAACAGGGACAUGUGUUGCUGUGCUGGGCUCUGAGUUAUUUGGGUGGUUCCGAUUCGAUCAGGCUCGUUAUCUUGUUCUCUUUGCUUCGUUUUUUUUAGUCACCCCCGUGCUUUUGUGAAAAACCAUAAAAAUUUUUUCACAGCAGAUCGUCUUUUACUGCUGGAGUGGGUUCUAAAUUAAUUAAGCUGUGCCGACAUGCAGGCUUCACCUGCUGCACAACGUGAUGCCAGACUGAGUGGAAGAAGAUACUGCACGCUGCAUAUAUUGUAUGCAAAUAAAAAACUAUUACAUUAUUUAUUUGCA
RNAcentral lists this long non-coding RNA (3176 nucleotides) under Betta splendens (Siamese fighting fish). Its description in RNAcentral is "lncRNA (ENSBSLG00000004468.1)". Lineage: Eukaryota; Metazoa; Chordata; Actinopteri; Anabantiformes; Osphronemidae. The record is from RNAcentral.